This 405-nucleotide ribosomal RNA is filed under the name uncultured bacterium. Its description in RNAcentral is "partial 16S ribosomal RNA". It matches the Rfam family "Bacterial small subunit ribosomal RNA", at positions 28 to 526 of the family's 1533-position model. The record is from RNAcentral.
GACGAACGCUGGCGGCGUGCUUAACACAUGCAAGUCGAACGAAGUGGCGAACGGGUGAGUAAUACGUGAGUAACUGCCCUCCUUUUUGGGAUAAGCCUUGGAAACGGGGUCUAAUACCGAAUAAAGGGGGAUGGGCUCGCGGCCUAUCAGCUUGUUGGUGGGGUGAUGGCCUAACAAGGCGGUGACGGGUAGCCGGCCUGAGAGGGGACUGGCCACAUUGGGAUGAGGUACGGGCCAGACUCCUACGGGAGGCAGCAGGGGGGGAUAUUGCACCAUUGGCGAAAGCCUGAUGCAGCGACGCCGCGUGCGGUAUGUCGGCCUUCGGGUUGUAAACCGCUUUCAGCCAUGACGCGGUAGUGGCAGAAGAAGCACCGGCUAACUACGUGCCAGCAGCCGCGGUAAUUC